GCUAGUGUGGCAUAGUGGUUUAAGUAUUGGACUACAAUUCUGAAGAUCAGGGUUUGAUUCCCCACUCAGCU
Phrynosoma platyrhinos (Desert horned lizard) is the source of this 71-nucleotide non-coding RNA. NCBI's taxonomy places the organism in Eukaryota, Metazoa, Chordata, Lepidosauria, Squamata, Phrynosomatidae. The record is from the annotation of a GenBank genome assembly.